UUUAUUAUUGUGUUAUCUUUCAGAGAAAAUCUUUACGUCAAGUUCGUGGUUUGGAUGCGAAAGACCAAGUAAAAAUGAUACUGGAAAGACUGUUUACCGUUGGACUUCUGUCCCAAUUUAACUUAGUGGAGACAAAAAGAAAGGACCGCGGUGGAAAUAAGAGGGGGUUGUAAGGAUCAGCCGUUUUUGAAUUAAUAGUCGAAGUCGCAGCCAGCUCGUAUAAAAAGACUUUUCGACGAGAAAUAGUUAAUUUUAUUCAGAGAAAGCUGAAGAACGCCCCUGAUCAAAUCAAGGGGUUGCGUGAACAACAACGCCAAGAAACAGAGGAGAAAGCUGAAGAAACAGAGGAAAAAGAGGAAAGUGAAAAUAAUGUGGAAUUUGGAGAUAAAUCUGCUGAUGACUCUUAAUUUAUUUAACUUAGUUUAACUUAAUUCAUUUAACUCUUAAUUUAAUUAAUAUAUUCUGCUGAACAAUACUGCUGUUUUAUU
This is a non-coding RNA of Hydra vulgaris (swiftwater hydra), 488 nucleotides long. NCBI's taxonomy places the organism in Eukaryota, Metazoa, Cnidaria, Hydrozoa, Anthoathecata, Hydridae. The record is from RefSeq and is a predicted model, not a curated record.